RNAcentral lists this ribosomal RNA (253 nucleotides) under uncultured bacterium. RNAcentral describes it as "partial 16S ribosomal RNA". It matches the Rfam family "Bacterial small subunit ribosomal RNA", at positions 524 to 776 of the family's 1533-position model. The record is from RNAcentral.
UACGUAGGGGGCUAGCGUUGUCCGGAAUCAUUGGGCGUAAAGAGCGUGUAGGCGGCCCGGUAAGUCCGCUGUGAAAGUCGGGGGCUCAACCCUCGAAUGCCGGUGGAUACUGUCGGGCUAGAGUGCGGAAGAGGCGAGUGGAAUUCCUGGUGUAGCGGUGGAAUGCGCAGAUAUCAGGAGGAACACCAAUAGCGAAGGCAGCUCGCUGGGACGUUACUGACGCUGAGGCGCGAAAGCGUGGGGAGCGAACAGG